Molecule: long non-coding RNA, 737 nt
Organism: Zingiber officinale
Lineage: Eukaryota; Viridiplantae; Streptophyta; Magnoliopsida; Zingiberales; Zingiberaceae
Exons: 5
Source: RefSeq, a predicted model, not a curated record
GUUUUCCCUCUCUCGCGCUCACCCGACCCGAUGCUUCCUCCCUCUCUUCCUCUCUCGCGCGCGGAGGACUCGACACCGACGGAGCAGUGCUGUUCUCCGGCGAUCUUGUCUUUAUCGCGUCACCGAGGGGAAACAGCGCCAGAUCUCAAUGACUCCGACCAUCUACGACGGAGCGAUCCUCUCUUAGGCGGUGCUUGUGCGCGCGGUAGCGAUUCGGCGGAGCUAGGGCACGGUGAGGUCCCGCCCAAUUGAGUCCCUUUUCGCUUCUCCUCUUCGAUCUACUCACUAGAGGGCAAACUGGAUCAUCACCAGUUGGAAAGGAUCGCGCGACACCAUUGGAGGCGACCGAUUUAGGGGAAGACUUCGGAUCAACCUAGUGACAGAUUUCUCUGAGCAGAUCUUGAUCUUCUCCAUUUCUUGCGGCUGAUUGAGUCUCGGCUGAAGAAAUUAGGGUUCAAUUGAGGGCUUCUUGGAUAGCUGCCGGCAGAGGUCUUGUUGAGCUGUGAGAUUUGGAUUUUGCUACCAAACCUUAAGGUGUUGAUUUUGGGCAUCUAUUUGUGUUGGACCAGCUGUAAAUGGAGGGAGAAGCUCCAUUUUUCUCCACAGCAAACUUUGGGUUUCUUCAUCAAAGGGUGUGGAUUUUGUUUUGAAUCAAGGACUUUAUUUCGAGGCGAGCGUCUUGACGUGGGAUUGGAUUGUUUGACGCGGUCGACAGAUACGAGAUAUAUCAAGGCGGG